UGGGGAAUUUUUCGCAAUGGGGGCAACCCUGACGAAGCAAUGCCGCGUGGGUGAUGAAGUCUCUUGGGACGUAAAACCCUUUCGACAGGGAAGAAAACCGCAAGGUUUGACGGUACCUGUAGAAGAAGCCCCGGCUAACUCCGUGCCAGCAGCCGCGGUAAUACGGGGGGGGCAAGCGUUGUUCGGAAUUACUGGGCGUAAAGGGCGCGUAGGCGGCUCGCUAAGUUGGAUGUGAAAACUCUGGGCUCAACCCAGAGCCUGCAUUCAAAACUGACGAGCUCGAGUACUGGAGGGGAAAGCGGAAUUCCUGGUGUAGCGGUGAAAUGCGUAGAUAUCAGGAGGAACACCGGUGGCGAAGGCGGCUUUCUGGACAGUAACUGACGCUGAGGCGCGAAAGCUAGGGGAGCAAACAGGAUUAGAUACCCCCGUAGUCC
This 434-nucleotide ribosomal RNA is filed under the name uncultured bacterium. RNAcentral describes it as "bacterial SSU rRNA". It matches the Rfam family "Bacterial small subunit ribosomal RNA", at positions 355 to 796 of the family's 1533-position model. The record is from RNAcentral.